This 408-nucleotide ribosomal RNA is filed under the name uncultured bacterium. RNAcentral's name for it is "bacterial SSU rRNA". It matches the Rfam family "Bacterial small subunit ribosomal RNA", at positions 28 to 431 of the family's 1533-position model. The record is from RNAcentral.
GACGAACGCUGGCGGCGUGCCUAACACAUGCAAGUGGAGCGACGAACCAGGCUUCGGCCUGGGGCAAAGCCGCGAACGGGUGAGUAACACGUGGGUAACCUGCCCUGAUGAUUGGGACAACCCGAGGAAACUCGGGCUAAUACCGAAUGUGCCCUCCGGCCUCAAGGCCGCUGGGGAAAGGAAGCUUCGGCCUCCGCAUCGGGAUGGGCCCGCGGCCCAUUAGCUUGUUGGUGAGGUAACGGCUCACCAAGGCGACGAUGGGUAGCUGGUCUGAGAGGACGAUCAGCCACACUGGGACUGAGACACGGCCCAGACUCCUACGGGAGGCAGCAGUGGGGAAUCUUGCGCAAUGCGCGAAAGCGUGACGCAGCAACGCCGCGUGGGGGAAGAAGGCCUCGGUUGUAACCC